UGCCGCCCAAGAUUCCUUUAUUGCGAAGAACACCCAGAGAACUGUUCCCGUUGCUUAUACCCCAUGUGGCCCUGGUUCUGAGCCAGGACUUGGAGCUCUCUAAACCUCACAAGUGCCCCCAGGGAGGGCGGCUCAUUCCCUUUGCACAGGGCAUUUUCCGCAACUGGCUCUAUUUUGUGCCACUCCUGCUGCUUGUGCCACUGCUGCUGUGUUGUGUCUGGCGGCUGUGCCGCAAGCAGACUGUCAAGGAGCCACCACCUGUGCAGAAGCCAGAAAAGGAGCCAGAGCAGGAAAAACCACCAUCACCACCACCACCGCCUCCGCCUCCACCACCUCCACUCCCGCCUCCGCCCCCAGCUCCUGUAAACACCUGCCCCACUGUGAUUAUUUGUUGCUGUGGAUGCCAAGGAGUGGGCGGGAUGAGAAGGAUAGAGGGGAGGUACCUCAGCUUAGCCCUUGCACAGUCCCAAUAUGCACAGGCUCCCUGCUGCCCAAGGAUCUGCUUUCCACACAGCCAGGAGUGCCUUUCCCUACCACAGGCUCCCUGCAGCCCAAGGAUGUGCCUGAGACACAGCCGGGAGUGCCUCGCCCUCAAACAGGCUCGCUGCAGCCCAAACAUCUGCCUGAGACACAGCCAACACAGCAGGGAGUGCCUUGCCCGCAAACAGGCUCCCUGCAGCCCAAGGAUCUGCCUGAGACACAGCCCGGAGUACUUUUCCCAAGCACAGACUCUGUGCAACCCAAAGAGCUGCCUUCAACCCAGCCGGGAGUGCCUCCCCCUCACCUGCUCCUCCAGGUGCCGCCUCCCCCCAGCUAGGUGCUUGAGGCCUCCCUCCAGGAUGCUGCCGCUGCUGUCCCCACUGCUCAGGCACACGGCAGAACCCCCUUUGUCACUCCCCCCCUCAGAGCCCAACUUCUAAGGCACCAAACACCCAAGAUUAACAGGCUUUUGUUGCUGAACUGGACAUAUACAUUGAGUCUUUUCUUGCGGUCAAAGGAGUUGAAUUCUUGCUGAUCAACUAAAGUUGAUUGUGUUUGACACCAGGGAGCUUGUCUUUUGAGUGAGCUGGAUUUAUACUGCACCUGCCACGACACAGUGCCCUGGUGCCGUCGGGAUGCCAGGCAUGGAUGCAUUCCACUCCCAACAGCCCCGAAUUCAUCUGUCAUCAAGGGCUGGGACACAUGAGGUCUUAGGCCAAAUUCUCCAUUUAAAAAGCUCAAAAAGUGUUUGAAAUAUGAAUU
RNAcentral lists this long non-coding RNA (1242 nucleotides) under Homo sapiens (human). RNAcentral describes it as "long non-coding RNA NONHSAT013199.2". Lineage: Eukaryota; Metazoa; Chordata; Mammalia; Primates; Hominidae. The record is from RNAcentral.